ACAGAAUACCCAGGAACCUUUAUUGCCCCCAGAUCUGCUGUUCUUCUGGGCAAAGAAAAGGGGGGAUCAGCACACAGAAAGAAUCUCAAGACUUUGAGAAAGAUAUCGUCAGGGAUCCCCUAAGGAUCAGCAAGCCACAAGCAGCAACACAGCCUGCAGAACAGGCCCAGAGAGAGCAGCCAAGUUCAAUCAACAACCCAGGCCAGGUUAUAAGGAAAGUCCAUGGGGAUGAGGCACAUCCAAGGUCAAGGUAGAAGCCAACCCACCAGUCAGAACCAGGUCCAGCAAUGGCAACCAGGGUCCAACACACCCCAGUGAACAACAGACAUACACGGUGACAGGAUGGGUCUGAGAUCAAGCCAGGAGCCUUGUUCAGCCUCCAGUUCAACACCCAGAGCAGUAGGUGCUCUGGGCAGAGAUACAACUGACCAGCAUCCCUCCAGCAUAGCUCAAACAGGAACAGGGCCCAGGGCUGAGCUUAAAUGAGGCUCCUCAGCCUGCAGCAGAGAGCAUGGGUGGAGGCCCCAGCUGGGGCUGCUCAGGGCCAUUAAGGUCUGUUAAUGCCCUGGGGCAUUGCAGCUGAGUUUAGUGGCAUCCAGAUUGCCUGGGCCAGGUCUUCUCUAUUCCCACCCUCUGGGCUAGCUGGUUUUGUCCACCCUGGUCAGUUUUCCAGUUCAAUUGGAUUGAAUUACCUGAUGUUUGAAUAGUUUUAUGAAAAGAGAAACUUCUGUGUGAAGAGACUUAGGCAAAUUAGGACCACAGGAGCUAGGGACGGAGCUCCCACCUUCAGGUUCUCACUAUCGUUGAGCUCUAGACACACGUGCUCAGUGGAUGGUGUAGAGAUAUUAUCACUGAGUGAAGUAAUUGAGAGAAGAUGGAGACUGUUGUUGCUGGGAAUAAAACAUGUCACUUGCAGAGCUACAGGACCAUCCACCCCGGACUCCUGUGCAAGGUGGUGCUCAUCAUGUUACAGCCUCGGCUUCUUGGGGGCUGCUUGCUACCAACCAGUUUGCUACGGGCAGCUCGAGGAGAGAGGUGGCUGAAAAAGCACCCCCAGUAGGAUGUAGGUGUCCUUCAGCCCGAAAAGGACUUGGUGAAGAAGGGGAUUACUUCAGCUGGUUGAUCAUUAGUUCAUAAGGCUGAGAGGAAACAUGAGUUUGUUUUAUUUCUAUAUAUUAUCUCUGCAGGAAAAAAACAAACAAACAAACAAACAAACAAAAAUACUAUUUCCUCGGUAGGGAAGUAUUCCUUAAUGGAAAUGUCCCAUUCAAUUUCAUAGACACUUAUUGAA
Molecule: long non-coding RNA, 1291 nt
Filed under: Anas platyrhynchos platyrhynchos (common mallard)
Lineage: Eukaryota; Metazoa; Chordata; Aves; Anseriformes; Anatidae
Description: lncRNA (ENSAPLG00000017125.1)
Source: RNAcentral